GUUUUAUAUAACUAUAAUUGUGCAGUGUGUACUCAAAUUUUUAAAAUAUGGCUUCUUUUACUUGGCAUAUUUAUUUUGAGAUCCAGCCAUGUCAUUAUGCAUACUAUAGGCAUUUUCUUUUUCUUUUUCCUUUUCUUUUUGACAUGUAUCUUCCCCCCACUACUCUACUGAGUUGAGAGCAGCCAGCCAAGCCCUGUGCUCCUGCAUGCCCAUGAACUCCAGAUGCCCCCAACAUCUCUUUCUUGAAGACUCUGAGCAACUCUGAAUCCUGGCUCAGCAUGGGCCUAGGGCAGCUGUAGUUGACCCAGCUCGCAACUGAUGCAUGGCAUCGAACAAGUUGAAACUUCUCCAGCACUGUUACUAUGGUUCAACGCACUGCUUCCCAGAUGUGUUUUCCUCCACCUUAUUCACUGGAUCUGGCACUGCAGGACCUGAGACUUCCCCAGAGUCAAAACUUCCCCAAAGUCCAAACGACUAUGAAAGGGAAACAUUUUGAAUCAAUUCAGGACGUUGAAGCAGCCAUGACAGCACAACUAAGGACACCCAUGAGAGAAGAUUUCCAGAACUGCUUCAGAGUGGCAACAAUGAUGGGAUAUGUGUGUUUGAAGUGGG
RNAcentral lists this long non-coding RNA (612 nucleotides) under Chinchilla lanigera (long-tailed chinchilla). RNAcentral's name for it is "lncRNA (ENSCLAG00000027997.1)". Lineage: Eukaryota; Metazoa; Chordata; Mammalia; Rodentia; Chinchillidae. The record is from RNAcentral.